This 403-nucleotide ribosomal RNA is filed under the name Bacteroidota bacterium. RNAcentral describes it as "Bacteroidetes bacterium partial 16S ribosomal RNA". It matches the Rfam family "Bacterial small subunit ribosomal RNA", at positions 355 to 776 of the family's 1533-position model. The record is from RNAcentral. Lineage: Bacteria; Pseudomonadati; Bacteroidota.
UGGGGAAUAUUGCACAAUGGGGGAAACCCUGAUGCAGCGACGUCGCGUGAGCGAAGAAGGCCUUCGGGUCGUAAAGCUCUGUCCUAUGGGAAGAAAAGGACGGUACCAUAGAAGGAAGCCCCGGCUAACUACGUGCCAGCAGCCGCGGUAAUACGUAGGGGGCGAACGUUAUCCGGAAUGAUUGGGCGUAAAGGGUACGUAGGCGGCUUUUUAAGUCAGGUGUGAAAGGCAUGGGCUCAACCCAUGUAAGCACUUGAAACUGGGAAGCUUGAGGGAAGGAGAGGAAAGUGGAAUUCCUAGUGUAGCGGUGAAAUGCGUAGAUAUUAGGAGGAAUACCGGUGGCGAAGGCGACUUUCUGGACUUUUUCUGACGCUGAGGUACGAAAGCGUGGGGAGCAAACAGG